Molecule: long non-coding RNA, 462 nt
Organism: Candoia aspera
Lineage: Eukaryota; Metazoa; Chordata; Lepidosauria; Squamata; Candoiidae
Exons: 3
Source: RefSeq, a predicted model, not a curated record
UACUGAUGGCACCUGUCUCAUGUGCUAUUUAUGUUGUAAGUUGCUUCUUUUGCAACAACUAUGUGGAUGAAGGAGGGGUUCCAGUUGAGCAAGCCUGCUUUGUACCCUUCUACUUGAUUUGAAACUGUAGGGCUUCUUUCAGGGGUCCCUCCUACCACUAAUGUCUUCCUGAAGGACAAGUCUUCUUAAUGCUGUAGAGGAACACAUAGAAUGAAGAUUCGUUAAUGAAGGAUGGAGUAGCUGCAGUAUAUUUUGACAGAAAACACCAGGAGCAAUUUCUCUGGAAGCAUCCAUUAACUUCACAACACAGACCCUUAGUCCACAGGUAGUAUUUCACUACAAACAGUUAUUCAUGUUCCAGGACCAUGAAGAGAGGGAAGAAAUAUUUCUGCGUUCCCUUGAGCAUCAGGGUAAGCAUCUAUCUUUCAGCACAAUUAGUUGUCUAAUUGAGCAGUUGUAUUU